Molecule: ribosomal RNA, 568 nt
Filed under: Cryptococcus sp. BC25
Lineage: Eukaryota; Fungi; Basidiomycota; Tremellomycetes; Tremellales; Cryptococcaceae
Description: eukaryotic LSU rRNA
Rfam family: 5.8S ribosomal RNA (bases 164-317)
Source: RNAcentral
GGUGACCUGCCGGAAGGAUCAUUAAUGAUGCCCUCGAAGUCUUUGGACUGGUAGGGUUUGUGUCGGUCUCUUCGGAGUCGACCUUAUCUCACACACCGUGAACUGUGGCUUCGGCCAUUUACACAAACUGUUAGUAAUGAAUGUAACAUCAUAACAAACAUAAAACUUUUAACAAGGGAUCUCUUGGCUCUCGCAUCGAUGAAGAACGCAGCGAAAUGCGAUAAGUAAUGUGAAUUGCAGAAUUCAGUGAAUCAUCGAAUCUUUGAACGCACCUUGCGCCCUUUGGUAUUCCGAAGGGCAUGCCUGUUUGAGUGUCAUGAAACCUCACCCCACUUGGGUUUUUGCCCGAGCGGUGGUGGAUUGGGUGUCUGCCGUUACUGGCUCACCUUAAAAGCAUAAGCAACUUUGGAUGUAAUACGUUUCAUCCUUACGAGUGGCUGAUAACCCCACAUAACUCAUGAUCUGGCCUCAAAUCAGGUAGGGCUACCCGCUGAACUUAAGCAUAUCAAUAAGCGGAGGAAAAGAAACUAACUAGGAUUCCCUUAGUAACGGCGUAGUGAACCGGGAU